GCAGUGGUGGUUCAGGGGUAGAAUUUUUGGCUUCCAUUCAGGAGAUUCGAGUUCCAUUCCCAGCCAAUGCC
RNAcentral lists this transfer RNA (71 nucleotides) under Loxodonta africana (African savanna elephant). It matches the Rfam family "tRNA". Rfam says of the family: Transfer RNA (tRNA) molecules are approximately 80 nucleotides in length. The record is from Rfam by way of RNAcentral. Lineage: Eukaryota; Metazoa; Chordata; Mammalia; Proboscidea; Elephantidae.